GAAAUCAAAUGAGAAGAUGGAUUGAUAACCAAGAUCGCUUGAUUGUGGAAGCCGUACAAGGCACCGCAAGCUAUCCGUCGGGGGCUGGUCGUGACUGAAACUUUUUCAACCUAUGAAUAUAACUGCCCGGCCCUCGUUCAACGACUAGUUUCAAACUACAAAUAGAUGCCCAAGUUUGCAACGCUAGGCGGAAAUGAUAUUAUUGAAUACGACGAAGGAAGAUGCUUUCAAAAUACGCUUGGAACACAAUUUGGCUACUUUUGUACGAAACAUUCCAAUCAGUGAUCGUCUCCAGAACGUGCUAAUUAUCCUCCACCAGAACCAGGUUCAACAGUUGAUCAUGAACUAGAAUAAAUUUUAAAUUUGGAAGAUACAUUCAUCUAUCAAGUAAAUGUUACAAAGUUCUUUUUUGUUUUUGCGCCGACCGGAAUUGGGUUCUGUAUAUAAGUGUAUUCGUACCUGCAUGUCAAGUACGACUUUGAAAUGGAUUAAAAAUAAAGUUCAAAUAUUUAAAUAUCGUUGCACGGCUGAAAACGAAUUUCUUGCUCCUUGUAGAAUAAUACUGAUAUACCGGUUUGACUCAGAUUUAUCAUUUAUAUUUCAAUACUGAAUUUUGAUGAUUUAACUGAUAAAAUGUUUCGCACAGACGAAUUUAAUGACUGCAAACUUUGCUACUUUUUUAAAACUUAU
Molecule: long non-coding RNA, 690 nt
Organism: Malaya genurostris
Lineage: Eukaryota; Metazoa; Arthropoda; Insecta; Diptera; Culicidae
Exons: 3
Source: RefSeq, a predicted model, not a curated record